Molecule: non-coding RNA, 74 nt
Organism: Syngnathoides biaculeatus (alligator pipefish)
Lineage: Eukaryota; Metazoa; Chordata; Actinopteri; Syngnathiformes; Syngnathidae
Source: the annotation of a RefSeq genome assembly
GGCCCCGUAGCUCAGUGGUUAGAGCACUGGUUUGGUAAACCAGAGGUUGUGGGUUCGUAUUCCCACUGGGGCCU